This 596-nucleotide ribosomal RNA is filed under the name Listeria monocytogenes. RNAcentral's name for it is "bacterial SSU rRNA". It matches the Rfam family "Bacterial small subunit ribosomal RNA", at positions 68 to 682 of the family's 1533-position model. The record is from RNAcentral. Lineage: Bacteria; Bacillati; Bacillota; Bacilli; Caryophanales; Listeriaceae.
GAAGCUUUUAGCUUGCUAGAAGUGGAUUAGUGGCGCACGGGUGAGUAAGGUAUAGUUAAUCUGCCCUACACAAGAGGACAACAGUUGGAAACGACUGCUAAUACUCUAUACUCCUGCUUAACACAAGUUGAGUAGGGAAAGUUUUUCGGUGUAGGAUGAGACUAUAUAGUAUCAGCUAGUUGGUAAGGUAAUGGCUUACCAAGGCUAUGACGCUUAACUGGUCUGAGAGGAUGAUCAGUCACACUGGAACUGAGACACGGUCCAGACUCCUACGGGAGGCAGCAGUAGGGAAUAUUGCGCAAUGGGGGAAACCCUGACGCAGCAACGCCGCGUGGAGGAUGACACUUUUCGGAGCGUAAACUCCUUUUCUUAGGGAAGAAUUCUGACGGUACCUAAGGAAUAAGCACCGGCUAACUCCGUGCCAGCAGCCGCGGUAAUACGGAGGGUGCAAGCGUUACUCGGAAUCACUGGGCGUAAAGGGCGCGUAGGCGGAUUAUCAAGUCUCUUGUGAAAUCUAAUGGCUUAACCAUUAAACUGCUUGGGAAACUGAUAGUCUAGAGUGAGGGAGAGGCAGAUGGAAUUGGUGGUGUAGGGGU